GAGAAAGGUAAAAGGUAGAGAGGUUUAAGGGAGCAAUUCCAUAGGGUUAGGCAUUACAGUCAAUAUCAGGGAUGAGCAAGAGCUCAGAAAUGGAAGAGCAAAGAGAUAUUUGUGGCUGGUAGAACUGGAGGAAUAUCCAGAGAUAAAGAGGGGUGAAAAGACCACAGAUAAAUUUGAAAGCACGGAUGAAAAUUUGAAGCUUUUCCAUAGUGUCAGACUGGGUGCCAACAUAGGUCACAGGGAUAAAUAAUAGGACUUAGUGUGCUUAAGCAUGUAGGCAGCAGAAGAGAUGACAAUUUGUUCUGUCAAAGUUUCCAAGUAUUAUGUGAAAAGAAAAUUGCUGCAACACAUGAAUAAAGCACAAAGAGGUGAGGUGAAUGAAACACAAGACUUCAGCACAGAACCUCACAUUUUGGCCUUCAGAACAGGAAACCAAAUCUUGCCAAACAAAGAUGACACAAAGCUGGGUGGAAGGGUGAGCUGUGAGGAAGAUGACGAGAUGUUGCAGUAUGAUUUCAACAGGCUGAGUGAGUGAGAACAUGCAUGGCAAAUGCAGUAUCAUAUCUGUACUAUUGGAUUGGCAGGGCUGCGCAUUUAGAAAACAAAUUCAAACAGACGGAGCUGAAGACUCUCCUCAAUGUUAACUGACCACAGCUUAAUGUCACUGAAUGCUUAUCAACACACUCGAACUGCAGGAAACACAAUGAAGGCAAUCUCCAUUUAAUUCUCUUUAGGUAUGCCUCUUCUGUUGCACAAAAGAAAGAAAAAAAUUGUAAUAAAUAAAACCACCUGAUAUGCAAUCCGAUUCAUAAGACACUCUGCAACAUAAUGCAGUUACGCCUUUUUACUAGAAUGUACAAUGCAAAUAUUUUAAAGGUUGUAUUUUGCUUAUAAGUACUUAUACAUAUUUAUGCCAUUACUAAUUUUGUUCAUCUUGUGAAACUGUUCAUGAGCAACAACAUUAUAGUUUUGAAAUCUUUGUUUCAUUUUGCUCUCCUCUAUCCCUGCUUUUUUUCACUUUGUGUUAUUUUUGUAAGAAUUCCAAAAUUACACUGUGACAGUUGAAAAAUAACAUCAAUUACUUCUUCAGUUGAAGUUUCU
Non-coding RNA from Chiloscyllium plagiosum (whitespotted bambooshark), 1101 nucleotides. Lineage: Eukaryota; Metazoa; Chordata; Chondrichthyes; Orectolobiformes; Hemiscylliidae. The record is from RefSeq and is a predicted model, not a curated record.